Molecule: ribosomal RNA, 300 nt
Filed under: uncultured Desulfomicrobium sp.
Lineage: Bacteria; Pseudomonadati; Thermodesulfobacteriota; Desulfovibrionia; Desulfovibrionales; Desulfomicrobiaceae
Description: bacterial SSU rRNA
Rfam family: Bacterial small subunit ribosomal RNA
Source: RNAcentral
CCGUGUUGUGUUGGAGCGUCGGCGGUGGUAGAGGGGGUGCGAUCGUUGUUCGGAAUGAUUGGGCGUAAGUCGGGGUUAGUGGGUCUGUUAGGUCGGGUGUGAAAGCCCGCAGUGCAACUGAGGAAGUGCGCCCGAAACGUGCAGACUUGAGUGACGGAGAGGAUAGCGGAACACCCGGUGUAGAGGUGAAAUUCGUAGAUAUCGGGUAGAACACCAGUGGCGAAGGCGGCUAUCUGGACGGACACUGACGCUGAGACGCGAAAGCGUGGGGAGCAAACAGGAUUAGAUACCCGAGUAGUC